ACUCAGAGUCCUGGGCUUACGCAAUUGGUGAGAAAUGGAAGCCUGCUUGCUCUGGGUGCUCCUGCUCCAGGUUCAUCUCAGCAAUUUGCCUGACAGAGGGUAUUACUGUUAGUCUUUGCAACCCAAUGGACUGUACCUCUGUCCAUGGAAUUCUCCAGGCAAGAAUACUGGAGUGGUUGCCAUUGCAUUCUCCAAGGGAUUUUCCUGACAUCCUGACCCAGGGAUUGAACCAGGAUCUCCCACACUGCAGGCAGAUUCAUUACCACCUGAGUGAUCAUUUCAGGGUGCUGAUCUUAUCAUUUGUUUCCCCUCUGGAGUGUGAUUGUGAAUCGGGAUUGUGGUUUAACAGUAAGCCCUAUGGAAACUGCAAACUCCAGCAAUAUCCUGUCGUCCACCUUCUUUCUCACAGAUAUCCCUGGAUAUGA
Molecule: long non-coding RNA, 425 nt
Filed under: Bos indicus x Bos taurus (hybrid cattle)
Lineage: Eukaryota; Metazoa; Chordata; Mammalia; Artiodactyla; Bovidae
Description: lncRNA (ENSBIXG00000017411.1)
Source: RNAcentral